GGCAACCCGCUGGGGUCUCCUUCCCCCCUGUGGAGGCUUUGUCCUUUUGCUCUUUGCAAUAAAUCUUGCCACUGCUCACUCUUUGGGUCUACACUGCCUUUAUGAGCUGUAACACUCACCGCGAAGAUCUGCAGCUUCACUCCUGAAGCCAGCGAGACCACGAACCCACUGGAAGGAAGGAAUAACUCCAGACGCGCCGCCUUAAGAGCUGUAACACUCACUGCGAAGGUCCGCAGCUUCACUCCUGAGCUAGGGAGAUCACGAACCCACCAGAAGGAAGAAACUCCAAACACAUCCGAACAUCAGAAGGAACAAACUCCGGACACGCCGCCUUUAAGAACUGUAACACUCACCGCGAGGGUCCGCGGCUUCAUUCUUGAAGUCAGUGAGACCAAGAACCCACCAAUUCCGGACACACCAGCACCCGGAUCUCAGACCUCUGGCCUCCGGAACUACAGAGUCUUGCUCUGUCGCCCAGGCUGAAGUGAUGAGGCACAAUCUGGGCUCACUGCACCUCCGCCUCCCGGGUUCAAGCGAUUCUCCUGCCUCAGCCUCCUGAGCAGCCGGGAUUACAGAGUCCCUGUCAUCCAGACUGGAGUGCAGUGGUACAAUCCCGGCUCACUGCAACCUCCGCCUCCUGGGUUCAAGCGAUUCUCCUGUCUCAGCCUCUCAAGUACCUGGAAUUUCAGGCAUGUGCCACCGCACCCCAUGUAAUGUCCCGAUCUUGAUGGAUGCACUCUGGUUAUAGAAAUGUCCUCAUUUUAAGGAAAUACAUGCCAAAGUAGUAAAGGCUCAUGGGGCAUCAUAUUUGCAACUGCUCUCACCUGGUUCAGAAAAAUUUAAGAGCAAUAAUACAUAUAAAUGUGUAGAUAGAAUAAGAAGACAAACAUGGUAAAAUGUUAACAACUGGGGAAUCCGGAUGAAAGGUGUACGGAAGCUCUUGUGCUACUACACCUGCAACUUUUCCAUAAGUUUGAAAUUGUUUCAAAAUGAAAAAAAUGUACAAGUAUCCUAGAAAAUGCAAACUCAUCCGAAGUGAUGGAAAGUAGGUCACUGGUUGUCUGAGUGGGAUGGGCCAGAGGAGAGAGGAGUCAGGAUUACGAAGGGGGCACAACAAGGAAACUUGGCGGGGAGGAUAUGAAUAUCCUUUUUUUUUUUCUUUUUUAGAGACAGGGUCAUGCUCUGUCACCCAGCUCAUAGCUCACUGCAUCCUCAAACUCCAGGGCCCACGGGAUCUUCCUGCCAAGCAACUGGGACUACAGGCUCAGCCCACCAUGCCUGGCUGUUUUUUUUUCUUUUGGUGGAGAUGAGGUCUCACUAUGUUGCCUGGGGCUGGUCUUGAACUCCUGGUCUCAAGGAAAUCCUCCCACUUAUGACUCCCAAAGCACUGGGAUUACAGGCGUGAGCCACCUUGCCCAGCCAUGUUCAUUAUCUUGAUUGUGUCAAUUGCCUCUUUGGUGUAAAAUAGGUCGAAAUUUACUAUGUUGUACACUUUAAAAAUCUAUUAAUAGGUUAAAUAACAUGAAAUAAUUGUUUUUAAAUCCCUAAUAUUUGCCUAGGGAAUACAACCAACCUCUUCAUCACAUGAAGACAUUUUUUUCAUGCUUUUCCAUGUUCCUGAAAUGCCCUCCCCUAGGAGCUUCCUCCAAUUUAUCUACUCUUUCACAUUCAAGAAGGUAAUGGAGUUCCAUCUUCCUCCAUUAACUCCCCCAUACUGAAAUCUGCUAUAUCUUUCAUUCAUUUGAAUCUUAUUGUUACAGUACAUACAAUGGAAAUCUAUAAUAUUUUUAUUGCUAUAGUUAUCAUUUCAGUUGUUAUGUUUUCUGCUUAUUUUUGUAUCAGAGUUGAAUCAAGAUGUUUAAGUCUCUAGAGAGUUAAGUAUUUUGUAGGAGGAAGAAUAUCAAGGUUGUGAAAAAAAAAAAAAGCCUUGUUGUGGCUGAGAAACUGGGCUGGAGUCAGGAGGCUGGUGAUGGCCCCAGUUCUACCACUAACUAGCCAUGUGCCUACGAUGCUUCAUUUCACCUCUUGAGAUCUAAAUUUCCCCGUACGUCAAAGCAAAGGUGAGGUCAAUGUCAUCUAUGAAAUGUUCUUGACUUUCAAAUUAUUUGAGUAGUGGCCGCUAGAUGGAACCCAUGAACCCAUAUCCAUACAUGAGCAUUUCAAGGAGAGGUGGUGCUGAAGCAGGAAGCCAAAAAGCCAGGGUGACAGAUUAUCCUGUGCUUCGUGCAACAAGGGUAGUCUGUAGGAACAACAAGAGAAAUUGUCUCUCUCAGACAGUGGUGUCCUAGCCUAGACAUGUGGGCUAGGAAAUUAGUGAUCAGAGGAAGUCAGACCAAAGCCAAAGUCAGAGACAUUUUCUGUUCUCCUCUUCACUAAACCCCAAGGCUCUUUAGCAUGAAGUAUGCAGACCCUGUGUGAUUUUCUGUGUUAUCUAAAGUAAAACUUAUUAGAGUUCCACAUAUUUUUAACCAAAUAUGUUUAAUGAACAUUGUUCUGAGAGAAAGGGGAUUCCAGUCGCUUCUGUCAAAGGCAUUCAAGGAUAUGGAGAGAAAUAGCUUUUUAGAAUUUGAAAAUAAAAUUUCUAUGAAAUUGGUCAAAAUGGAUGAGAAGGAAAAAACCUCUCAAGCGGUAGGUAGGUAGAAAAACGAUCGCUUUGUGCCAUUUUUAUAUGUUAACAAAUUAUGUUAACAUUUAUUGAACACGUCAAACACUGCAGUAUAACUGAUUCUUCAAUAAGUGUAUACAAGUCACACAUAGAAUGAGUGGCAUGCUGGGUGCUCCCUGAAUAAUCCUUUUCUUUUACCAGUUAAGUUUCCUGCUGAAUAUUUCGAAACUCUUUGCAAACUGACUUCAGCACCUCUGUGGGAUAUUCCCUUCCACUGCCAACCCUUAGUUGUCAGAAACUCUGUCUUUGGGAAGCAUGCUACAUUUUCUAGAACAAAUCUAGAUACUUUAGAAAUGAUGGAUGAUGAUGAUGAUGAAUGAUGACACACUCUGAUGCAAUUCAUAUAUCACAAUAUUAUCCAGAUCCAACAAACACUGAGAAAAUGGUGUUUUGCAGCAAUUUUAAUUCCUUUAUUUCUCAAACAUCUUUGUCAAUAGUCAUUUUUAAUGUUAUUUUAUAGAUGAUGGAACAAUCUUAGAGAUGUUAAGUAACUGGUACUAAUAAAUACAGAUGGCAAAGACAGAAUUCAAAAUCUGGAUCUCUUGAUUUAUUUUACUUUAUUUUUUAGAGACAGAUCUCGCUUUGUCGCCUGUCAAUGGCUAGAGUGCAGUAGCGUGAUCAUAGCUUACUGCAGCCUCGAACUCCUGAGCUCAAGCAACCCUCCCUCCUCAGCCUUCCCAGGUCUCCUGAUUUCAAGUACAGUUCUUGCCAACACACAGUGGUAAAGGGUAUGAUUACCUAAGCCUUAGCACAGAAGGUAGCACCCCUCACUGGUGAGCUAUCAUGAAACUAUGCGACAAUUUUCUCCAUCUUUUUUAGAGUUGUUUUCCUUGUCUUCCUCCUCAUCACGAUUAUUAUUGCUUUUUCAUUCAGCAAAAAAUCUGGUAGGAGACUGCACAGAAGCAUGAUCACUUGUUAUCAACAGUGUAACCCUACCUAACUUCCCUAAUCUCUAGCAAAUGAAGGAAAAAUCAUAUACAGGCACUGACAAAUAGCAACACAAGAAAGGGCAACAAAAUUACUAAAGAGUAACGCCAUCCUCCCCAACUCAAACCAGGGAAAGUAAUCUUGCCUAGGAACUUAGGCUGAAAUUCACCACAGUGCCAAAAACCUGUUUUCUUAAAAAGAGGUAGUGCAGAUAGUGAAUCCACUGAGCCACAUAGGGUGGGAGUUUGCUUUAAGUGCUUUUCUUCUUGCCCACAAACUAGCGUAGGCUGUGACUGGCUCCAGCUGAUCCUUAUCAAGGCAGCUAGUUCUGAGGGCUUGGUUAAGAAGCUCUUCAUUUACUUAAGAGAGCAAAGAGAAGACACAUGAAUUGGAAAAGGAUAUCUAAAAUGUCCCCUAAGGCUUCAUAAAGUUGACAUCUUUCGUCAUGACUUCUACAGUUCAGGAAACCAGGUAGCAGUAAACAAUUAUGAACUCUACUCACUCGCCCUAUCACUUUCACAUCAGACUGGGGGUAUUGUCCUUUGAACAGAAGGCUCAUGAGGAAAGCGCAGAUUCCUUCCAGGUGGGAAGAAAGCUUUGUCCCUGCUCCAUGUCUGCUGAUCUGCAGGAAGCAGAGAGAGCAGGGCUGUUUGACUCCGUUUCCCUAACGACGUCCCAGCCUCUUUCAGUUCUGUGAGCAAAACCAAGGCUGGGUUUGUUAGCACAGCCUGUGGCAGAGCCUGGGCAGGUCCUUGUAUUCUGGCAAAGGCUGAACCAAAGAGCAGUCUCAUUGCACUAUUUACUUUCUUUUUGUUAUACUCUUUCUGGCUCAGCACAAUCAGUGCAGUCCGAUGCUGCGGAAGACAGACUGUUCCCUCCCUCUUCCCACAGUGUUGUUUCUCGUCUACCUUUUGCCCUUAUUCAGUGGGAAGAAAUUUCUUCUUGACCUCAGCAAUCCUUUCUGACAAUUACCAUAUGCCUCAAGAGACCUGGGAAGCUUCGCCCUGUCUGGCACAGGGAGACAAUUCCUAUCCAGAAUAAAACUGAAAGCUUUAAAAAAAAAAAAAAAAAAAGAAGAAGAAGAAAAGAAAGAAAGAAAGAGAAAAAGAAAGGAAAGAAAGACUGUAAUAAGUUACCUUGUCUCUGGGAGAUUCUGUAACAAUGAAUUGCACAGGCUAAUUAUCCCCUGUAUUAAAAAGUUUUUAAAAGGUUCCUCUUCAUCAUUUAGAGUAUGUUGCCUUGGCGCCGGCCUGGAGAGGGUUAACACAGGAGCCAGGCUGAGUUUAAUUAAAGAAUUUCCGUGUGUCAGCAGCAGAGAAUAACAGUCUCACUUCUCCAACUCAGCAGGAGACUUUGAUUAAAGUGAGAAGCAGCCAAGAUUCCGAGAAGUGCGUCUUUCUCCUGUCUCCUCCCCCAGAUGUGCGGGUACCCUUCCCCCAACACCAUGGAAGAAGGGGUCCAGGAAGAAAAUGUCACACUUGCCUGUGACCCCCACCUGGUCUGCAGAAAGGCAGAGAAGACCUGCUUAUGGAGGAAAAAGACGGCCUCUGUCUGCAGCUUCUAUGAAUUACAUAACGAAUAAGUGAUUUCACUACAAAGCAGUGAAAUUUUUAAAAGUUAACCAGUGGCAGAAGUGUCAGGACAGUCUGCACGGGCAAGAAUGAUACCUAAAUCAUUACUCAGGCACAGGAGAGAGCAGGACUGGCAUGGCUGGCAGCAGGCACUGUACUUUGGCCAAACCAAUCUCCAUUUGCAACAUGUUUCUCCCUUACUGGACUCCACUAUAGAGAGAGUAAAAGCUAAAUUUUGAUGUUCCACCGCCACCCCCUUAUUGAUAUGAGAAAUAAGUCUUCUGGUGCAUUCCUCUCCAAUUUCCGUCUUCUUUCCACUUGAGCUGCUAGGAGAUGCAACAGUCGUUUUGAAACCAAAAAGAUAAAAACUACAUACUAAGAAUGCAUGAACCUAAAGAUUUACAGAGCCUGGGACACUGGGGAUACUUGGAGUCAAUGUAUCAGCCUUGGACUGAUUCCCGUGGGACUUCUUAUUACCCAAGUGAAACAGUCCUUCCUUUCAUCUGUUAAGCCACUAUGGUAUGUUUUGCUGGUUCUCGUAGCCAAAUACAGUUUUGACUGCUAUACCCAUUUUUUUCUUAUGGAUGUUCAUGACUUCUUUUAUAUUGUGGAUUGUAUUGUGAAUAUGUAUCUUAUUUGUUGCAAAUAUUUUCUCAGUCUUUUUGUCCUUUAAUUUAAGAUAUUAUUCAAUGUUUGUAAGGUUUUUAUGUUUAUGCUGUUAUAUAUAUCCAUUUUUUCUGAUUUAUUCAAUUGAAAAAAUUGAGAAACGUAGUUGAUAAUUUUGAACAUUAUUGAAGAAGACAUCAAUAAAACAAAACAUAGUCUAGCAAUUACAAAACAGAAAA
Molecule: long non-coding RNA, 6008 nt
Organism: Gorilla gorilla gorilla (western lowland gorilla)
Lineage: Eukaryota; Metazoa; Chordata; Mammalia; Primates; Hominidae
Exons: 5
Source: RefSeq, a predicted model, not a curated record